AGGAAAGUAAGCUAAACUAUAAGCUAUUGGGUUCAUACCUCAUUUAUAGAAAUCAUUUCUCUUUCCUA
RNAcentral lists this transfer RNA (68 nucleotides) under Hierodula longa. RNAcentral describes it as "tRNA-Met". Lineage: Eukaryota; Metazoa; Arthropoda; Insecta; Mantodea; Mantidae. The record is from RNAcentral.